AGAACGAACGCUGGCGGCAUGCCUAAUACAUGCAAGUCGAACGAAUGCCCUUCGGGGUGUUAGUGGCGCACGGGUGCGUAACGCGUGGGAAUCUGCCCUUGGGUUCGGAAUAACAGUUAGAAAUGACUGCUAAUACCGGAUGAUGACGUAAGUCCAAAGAUUUAUCGCCCAGGGAUGAGCCCGCGUAGGAUUAGCUAGUUGGUGGGGUAAAGGCCUACCAAGGCGACGAUCCUUAGCUGGUCUGAGAGGAUGAUCAGCCACACGUGGGACUGGAGACACCGGCCCAGACUCCGUACGGGAGGCAGCAGUA
RNAcentral lists this ribosomal RNA (310 nucleotides) under uncultured soil bacterium. Its description in RNAcentral is "bacterial SSU rRNA". It matches the Rfam family "Bacterial small subunit ribosomal RNA", at positions 26 to 356 of the family's 1533-position model. The record is from RNAcentral.